CAGAAAAAAAUAAUGUAAUGUGCCUCGAUGUGAUUCAUGCUGAUGUAAUAAAAACAGAUGUAAACGGGAUUUUUAGAUGUACAAUCACAUCGGUUUGGUGAUAAAUUACAUCUUCCUUGAGAUUACACAAUAGCGAAAUCUCGAUAUCACAUUCCGUUGUACCUGUGUGAUAUUUGCAUUGAAAAUAUGUGAAUAUUACACCGAAAUAGCUGCAACCAAGUGGUUGCGACAAAGUUGUGUAAAAACACACACAUUGAUGUCAUAUCGCAUUCGAUAAGAAUGCGAUAUUAAAUCUCGCAACACUGUUGUGUUGUUGUGAUCACGAUGAUCACGAUCGCUUGCAAGUAAGCUGCCAUUUUUAAUUCUUUGGUACUUGACGAGCUUCGAGACUGUUGGCUGCUGUUUUUUCUACGAUUUUGAUUGAUUUUGGCAUAGCGACCGUUCCUGAACGGGAAAUGCUCGGUCGGAGUGGACGAGCAGUCGUUGAAAUCGUCGCGGCUAGACGGAAUCCCUACCGUACCGGACACAUACACGGAGAUUGACCAGAUUGACGCCGUGCCAACCAGACUCACCAGACUAGCAAAAGAUGCCCCAAACGCAGCAACUGUGUUCCGGUCGAAUGCGCAAGCGGAAUUGCUCUUUCGUUUUGGAAUCGAUUAUUCUUUCGUUCGAUGCCGCACUGGUUGAGCAAAGGAAGUCACGACGCAGUCGUUAAAAUCAAAGCUAAACGCAAUCCCUAUCGAACCAGACAAACAGGAUACGGACACGGAGAUUAAGAAUCCGCCGCGCCAACCAGAUUAGUAAAAGAUGUCCCAAACACAGCCCCAACUGUGCUCCGACCGAAUGCGCAAGCGGCGGAAAUUUUGUUCUUUUCGAAUUGCUGUUUCAUUUUGGAAUCGGUAGGUCGUUCGUUAGAAGGCGCACUAGAUGAGCGGAGGAAGUCACAAUUUAGCUUUCGGUGUUAACGGGCGAUGCGACUUGAAUCUUUUUGAUGGCAGAAAUCGGCAGCAGUAAAGCUAUUUCGCUUUGUCAAAGUUUGGAGCUGCUUGGGGAACUUGGAAGCACGGGCUCACAAGUCAUGAGUGUCCGUAGAUAUACAGAGGCGGAUCGGUUACAGUUGUACCUGCUGGUGGAGCAGAGGAACCGGAUUCGGAUAUAUGAUUGAUUGGCCACCGGAAGUGAAGCAGAAAAUUGAAAAAAUGACGACGCCGCUGUCUUCAAGCGGUACUUUAUUCACCGCUGCCGUCAGAAUGUUCGCCCCAGCUACUUUGUACCCGCAGAAGCAACUUGAAUUAUUAUAUAAUAAUCAUUCUUAUAAGUUAAUCACAUUUUAUAAAAAAAAUACUGCAAUACAAAUAAAAUUUCCCUCUACAAUAUACUUUUUCUGAUUUUACUCCUGAAUGGCUGAUUAAAUUGUAUUUGAUCCUAUUUCGACUUAAAUUUUGUGUAUCUUAAAAAACCUAGUGGUUUUUCAGCUACACAUUUUUUUCGUCGAAAAAAGAUGAAAUUCAAUUUAAUCAUCCAUUCAGGAGAAUUGGCAAGCGUUUACAUCGUUUCCUUAGGUACAUUGCAAGGAUUACAUCGUACCGUGUACAUCGAAUAAAUUACAUCGCAAUAAUUACAUCGGAUCUGUUUAUUACAUCAACAGCCGUCGAGUACAUCGGGCUGUGUAAUAUUAAUCAAUUGAUGUAACGACCUGGUUGCAGCGAUUUCGAUGUAAUAUUCAACAACUUUUUUUGCUGUG
Long non-coding RNA from Aedes albopictus (Asian tiger mosquito), 1744 nucleotides. RefSeq lists it as uncharacterized. Lineage: Eukaryota; Metazoa; Arthropoda; Insecta; Diptera; Culicidae. The record is from RefSeq and is a predicted model, not a curated record. The transcript has 3 exons.